ACUUCAUUGCCAACAUGAUCUAUAAUAUUGUUCUGAUGAUUGACCUUCACACACCGGUGUCAUUCGGUAUGCUUAUGUUUGCCGGAUUCCCGUUGGCCUGUCUGAAUGUCGUCUUCUUUGG
This 121-nucleotide non-coding RNA is filed under the name Protocruzia adhaerens. The record is from RNAcentral. Lineage: Eukaryota; Ciliophora; Spirotrichea.